ACCUUAUCAAGAGUGGCGGAGGGAUCGGCCCGAUGAAGCCACGGCAACCUGCGAAGCAAGGUGCCAAAUCCGGCGUAUGCUGAGUGCGGAAGUGAUAGUCCCGCAUUCGUCCUUCGACAGAUGAGGA
This is a non-coding RNA of Firmicutes bacterium CAG:83, 127 nucleotides long. Lineage: Bacteria; Bacillati; Bacillota. The record is from Rfam.